AGGGCUUGACAUCACCUCGACAGCCUGGGAAACCAGGUCUUCUCCCUUUACGGGAGACGGGGUGACAGGUGGUGCAUGGUUGUCGUCAGCUCGUGUCGUGAGAUGUUGGGUUAAGUCCCGCAACGAGCGCAACCCUUAUCCUUAGUUGCCAGCACGUAAUGGUGGGCACUCUAAGGAGACUGCCGUCGAUGAGACGGAGGAAGGUGGGGAUGACGUCAAAUCAUCAUGCCCCUUACGCUCUGGGCUACACACGUGCUACAAUGGCCGGUACAAAGGGUUGCAAUCCCGCGAGGGGGAGCCAAUCCCAAAAAACCGGUCCCAGUUCGGAUUGUAGGCUGCAACUCGCCUACAUGAAGUCGGAAUCGCUAGUAAUCGUGGGUCAGCUACACCACGGUGAAUACGUUCCCGGGCCU
This 413-nucleotide ribosomal RNA is filed under the name uncultured bacterium. Its description in RNAcentral is "bacterial SSU rRNA". It matches the Rfam family "Bacterial small subunit ribosomal RNA", at positions 976 to 1381 of the family's 1533-position model. The record is from RNAcentral.